GGGGCUUUUUAUAACUGACGGAUCAGUGGGAGACCACAGGGGAGUAGAAAGCUUGAAUGUAAGCAGUUUAAGAGUUAAGCGGUGUUUUUUACACUGCGCCUGAUAAAGAGGAAUCAGUCAGGAGUUUAACACUGCUUUUGUCGACCGUCUGGGCAGUCCUG
This 161-nucleotide non-coding RNA is filed under the name Anaerotignum neopropionicum. RNAcentral's name for it is "Clostridium neopropionicum ZMP/ZTP riboswitch aptamer (pfl RNA motif)". It matches the Rfam family "ZMP/ZTP riboswitch aptamer (pfl RNA motif)". Rfam says of the family: Previously known as pfl RNA. ZMP is also known as AICAR. Lineage: Bacteria; Bacillati; Bacillota; Clostridia; Lachnospirales; Anaerotignaceae. The record is from Rfam by way of RNAcentral.